UACGUAGGUGGCAAGCGUUACUCGGAAUCACUAGGCGUAAAGCGCGGGUAGGCGGUUGGGUAAGUCUCUUGUGAAAGCUCCCGGCUUAACUGGGAGAGGUCAAGGGAAACUACCUGGCUAGAGUGCGGUAGAGGAAGCUGGAAUUCCUGGUGUAGCGGUGAAAUGCGUAGAUAUCAGGAGGAACACCUAUGGCGAAAGCAGGCUUCUGGACCGUCACUGACGCUGAUCCGCGAAAGCUAGGGGAGCAAACAGG
RNAcentral lists this ribosomal RNA (253 nucleotides) under uncultured bacterium. Its description in RNAcentral is "partial 16S ribosomal RNA". It matches the Rfam family "Bacterial small subunit ribosomal RNA", at positions 524 to 776 of the family's 1533-position model. The record is from RNAcentral.